RNAcentral lists this transfer RNA (96 nucleotides) under Bacillota bacterium. Its description in RNAcentral is "tRNA-Ser". It matches the Rfam family "tRNA". From Rfam's summary of the family: Transfer RNA (tRNA) molecules are approximately 80 nucleotides in length. Their secondary structure includes four short double-helical elements and three loops (D, anti-codon, and T loops). Further hydrogen bonds mediate the characteristic L-shaped molecular structure. tRNAs have two regions of fundamental functional importance: the anti-codon, which is responsible for specific mRNA codon recognition, and the 3' end, to which the tRNAs corresponding amino acid is attached (by aminoacyl-tRNA synthetases). tRNAs cope with the degeneracy of the genetic code in two manners: having more than one tRNA (with a specific anti-codon) for a particular amino acid; and 'wobble' base-pairing, i.e. permitting non-standard base-pairing at the 3rd anti-codon position. The record is from RNAcentral. RNAcentral also lists the same sequence under 3 other names. Lineage: Bacteria; Bacillati; Bacillota.
GGAGAUGUACCCAAGCGGUUGAAGGGAACGGUCUUGAAAACCGUGAGGUCGGCGUAGAAAACCGGCGCGGGGGUUCAAAUCCCUCCAUCUCCGCCA